CCUUUACACCACUUUCUACAGGCGGGGUCAGCUAAUCAAGCUUUCGGGCCCAUACCCCGAACAUGACGGUUAAAGUCCCUCCUCCGCCA
Molecule: transfer RNA, 89 nt
Filed under: Labeo catla (catla)
Lineage: Eukaryota; Metazoa; Chordata; Actinopteri; Cypriniformes; Cyprinidae
Description: tRNA-Met
Rfam family: tRNA (bases 21-89)
About the family: Transfer RNA (tRNA) molecules are approximately 80 nucleotides in length.
Source: RNAcentral